AAAGUAUCAAGAGUGUAGAGAGGGAUCUAGCCCGACGACCUACCAGCAACCCUUUCAGUUGGGUGCUAAAUCUAGUCCUGCAUGCAGGAAAGAUAUGAA
RNAcentral lists this non-coding RNA (99 nucleotides) under Candidatus Saccharimonadota. RNAcentral describes it as "Candidatus Saccharibacteria SAM-I sequence". It matches the Rfam family "SAM riboswitch aptamer (S box leader)". From Rfam's summary of the family: The SAM riboswitch is found upstream of a number of genes which code for proteins involved in methionine or cysteine biosynthesis in Gram-positive bacteria. The SAM riboswitch acts at the level of transcription termination control. The record is from RNAcentral.